This 624-nucleotide long non-coding RNA is filed under the name Ananas comosus (pineapple). RNAcentral's name for it is "long non-coding RNA (ACOM_LNC002683)". Lineage: Eukaryota; Viridiplantae; Streptophyta; Magnoliopsida; Poales; Bromeliaceae. The record is from RNAcentral.
AAAGCGACAUUAAGGGUCCGUUUGUUUUGGUAUAAGUGAAAAAUAUAAUGUAAUUCAAGUUACGUUAAAACUCCACCACUUUACCUAUUCUCAACUUUCACCUCUAAAGUGCUGAAUUCGACUUCCACCACACUCAAUCUUGUAUAAAAAAUUUAUUAAACAGUAAAACCUAAACUCUACUUGCUUUAUAAUGAAUUAGAAUUACCUUAUUUAUAAUAAAUUAAGAUUACCUUUAAAUAAUAAUAAAAAAUUUAAUUAUAUAAUAUGUUAAAUUUUAUAGUGGUAAAUUUAUUACUAUAUUUAAGAGAUAAUGGGAUCCACUUACUUACAUCAAAGCCAAAAACGAAACUCAAAAAACUAAUUUUACCAACACCAAGUUACAUCAAAAUAAACAGAAGAAGUAAUUGAAUUUAACUUUAAGACUGUACGAGUUACGUUAAAACAAACAAUAAAAAAAUAAUCACACUUUAGAAAAACUCAAACACCACUACACUUGACUUACGUUAGAUCUACAGAUUCGUCAAUCCAAACGCCCCCUAAACACAUUUGUAUACUCACCAAUUUAAAAAUUUAUAAAAUAUAAAAAUGGUCCCACAUUAUUCAUUCCUUCAAUUAAUUAAAUUU